GAUGAACGCUGGCGGCGUGCCUAAUACAUGCAAGUCGAGCGAACAGACGAGGAGCUUGCUCCUCUGACGUUAGCGGCGGACGGGUGAGUAACACGUGGAUAACCUACCUAUAAGACUGGGAUAACUUCGGGAAACCGGAGCUAAUACCGGAUAAUAUAUUGAACCGCAUGGUUCAAUAGUGAAAGACGGUUUUGCUGUCACUUAUAGAUGGAUCCGCGCCGCAUUAGCUAGUUGGUAAGGUAACGGCUUACCAAGGCAACGAUGCGUAGCCGACCUGAGAGGGUGAUCGGCCCCACUGGAACUGAGACACGGUCCAGACUCCUACGGGAGGCAGCAUUAGGGAAUCUUCCGCAAUGGGCGAAAGCCUGACGGAGCAACGCCGCGUGAGUGAUGAAGGUCUUCGGAUCGUAAAACUCUGUUAUUAGGGAAGAACAAAUGUGUAAGUAACUAUGCACGUCUUGACGGUACCUAAUCAGAAAGCCACGGCUAACUACGUG
Molecule: ribosomal RNA, 497 nt
Filed under: uncultured bacterium
Lineage: Bacteria
Description: partial 16S ribosomal RNA
Rfam family: Bacterial small subunit ribosomal RNA
Source: RNAcentral